Molecule: non-coding RNA, 69 nt
Organism: Ictidomys tridecemlineatus (thirteen-lined ground squirrel)
Lineage: Eukaryota; Metazoa; Chordata; Mammalia; Rodentia; Sciuridae
Source: Rfam
AGGGCUGUAGCUCAGUGGCAGAGCACAUGCCUAGCAUGCAUGAGGCAAUGGGUUCUAUCCUCAGCACCA